This 332-nucleotide ribosomal RNA is filed under the name uncultured bacterium. Its description in RNAcentral is "bacterial SSU rRNA". It matches the Rfam family "Bacterial small subunit ribosomal RNA", at positions 568 to 899 of the family's 1533-position model. The record is from RNAcentral.
CGCGUAGGUGGUAGUGCAAGUCUGGGGUGGAAUCCCAGGGCUUAACCCUGGAACUGCCUUGGAAACUGUAUUACUUUGAGUCAGUGAGGGGAGGGUAGAAUUCCUGGUGUAGCGGUGAAAUGCGUAGAUAUCAGGAGGAAGGCCUGUGGCGAAGGCGGCCCUCUGGCGCUGAACUGACACUGAGGCGCGAAAGCGUGGGGAGCAAACAGGAUUAGAUACCCUGGUAGUCCACGCCCUAAACGGUGGGUACUAGGUGUAGGGCUCGUAAGGGUUCUGUGCCGAAGCGAAAGCAUUAAGUACCCCGCCUGGGGAGUACGGCCGCAAGGUUGAAA